Molecule: ribosomal RNA, 253 nt
Filed under: uncultured bacterium
Lineage: Bacteria
Description: partial 16S ribosomal RNA
Rfam family: Bacterial small subunit ribosomal RNA
Source: RNAcentral
UACAGAGGUCUCAAGCGUUGUUCGGAAUCACUGGGCGUAAAGGGUGCGUAGGCGGCGGAGUAAGUCGGGGGUGAAAUUUGAAGGCUCAACCUUCAACUAGCACCUGAUACUGCUUUGCUUGAGGUCUGAAGAGGAGCUUGGAAUUCUCGGUGUAGCAGUGAAAUGCGUAGAUUUCGAGAAGAACGCUCGCAGCGAAGGCGAAGCUCUGGUCAGAUUCUGACGCUGAGGCACGAAGGCUAGGGGAGCAAACGGG